Long non-coding RNA from Haliotis rufescens (red abalone), 214 nucleotides. RefSeq lists it as uncharacterized. The transcript is spliced from 3 exons. The record is from RefSeq and is a predicted model, not a curated record. NCBI's taxonomy places the organism in Eukaryota, Metazoa, Mollusca, Gastropoda, Lepetellida, Haliotidae.
GAAAGUUCGGGGCAGGCGUGACAGCUCAAAAGAAAAAGGAAAAGUGGGUGGAGUUGACCCACACGAUCAACGCAGCCUUUCCAGGAUGCAUCAGAGCCCCCGAGGAGGUGGAAAAGAAAUGGCAUAACAUCCAAAGUAAAGCCAGGGGAGAAAUUGCAAGGUACAAGCAAGGUGUUAUCAGCACAGGUGGUGGUCCAUCACCAUGCCCUACUUU